This 523-nucleotide ribosomal RNA is filed under the name Bacillus sp. CH81b_3T. Its description in RNAcentral is "bacterial SSU rRNA". It matches the Rfam family "Bacterial small subunit ribosomal RNA", at positions 64 to 570 of the family's 1533-position model. Lineage: Bacteria; Bacillati; Bacillota; Bacilli; Caryophanales; Bacillaceae. The record is from RNAcentral.
GAGCGGAUUUUCUGGAGCUUGCUCCAGAAAGUUAGCGGCGGACGGGUGAGUAACACGUGGGCAAUCUGCCCGUAAGACUGGGAUAACUCCGGGAAACCGGGGCUAAUACCGGAUAACCCUGACUCUCUCCUGAGAGUCAGUUGAAAGAUGGUUUCGGCUAUCACUUACGGAUGAGCCCGCGGCGCAUUAGCUAGUUGGUGAGGUAACGGCUCACCAAGGCGACGAUGCGUAGCCGACCUGAGAGGGUGAUCGGCCACACUGGGACUGAGACACGGCCCAGACUCCUACGGGAGGCAGCAGUAGGGAAUCUUCCGCAAUGGACGAAAGUCUGACGGAGCAACGCCGCGUGAGUGAAGAAGGUUUUCGGAUCGUAAAACUCUGUUGUCAGGGAAGAACACGUACGAGAGUAACUGCUCGUACCUUGACGGUACCUGACCAGAAAGCCACGGCUAACUACGUGCCAGCAGCCGCGGUAAUACGUAGGUGGCAAGCGUUGUCCGGAAUUAUUGGGCGUAAAGCGCGC